Molecule: long non-coding RNA, 2027 nt
Organism: Ictalurus punctatus (channel catfish)
Lineage: Eukaryota; Metazoa; Chordata; Actinopteri; Siluriformes; Ictaluridae
Source: Ensembl
UCCACAGAUAUUAUUAAAAUGCCUUGUGAGCUCCAAACAACUGGUUGUGUUUGUGUGUACACUAGAAUCUCAAUCUACAAUCUCAAUUUCUACAAUGUACAGACAGCGUGAAGAAUGCCUCGUCUUGCGGCUCGGAUCACUGUCAGCAGCGAUUUUAUUGGAUCUAGAUCUCGAUUCAUUUGUGGCAUGUUUCUAUAAUAUGCAGCACAUACAGUAGAGACUCCAGGACAAGGAAUGGGAUCACUGGUGCAAUGUGAACAAUAAGCCCUACUGUUAAAGAAACUGGUUGUAAGUUGGCUCUGCUUUCUACACCCGGUCUAGAAUAUUAAAGGUUAUGGAUUACGAGCUGGUUCAAGUGUGUUAGAAGAAGGAAGCAUUCAAACUGUGCAGGGCGUUGAAUGUCCAGGACUUGCCUGGAGAACCAGUGGUAGAGGUACAGGUUGGACAUUGUAUGGGUUGAUUGGAGGGGGGUAAAAGUAGAAGUAAAAGUAUAUGUAGAAGAAUAAAUGAGGCAAUAAGCAAUUUAGAAUUCAUCUUAACUCCUCAUUUAUUUCACUAAUCCAUCCCUUUGUCCCACUGCACCUGAGCUCCUCAGUGUCUUACGUCUAGCUCCAUCUAGUGGUAUUUUACAACGAAUGCUUGCUAGUCACUUGGUGUUACAAUCUCAAACAUUUACAUGUUCUUUUAAAGAACCCAAAAAUAAGUUAUUGGGUCAAUCUAACUACUAAGUAAAAAGAAACCAUCCAAGUCUGAAAUGGAAAAAAAAAGAAAGGAGUCAAGGAGCGUAUAGAUUUCUUUUUUUGGAUACGUGUCUGUAAAGUGAGAGCCAGAUUCCUAAGGGGAGGUGAUCGCUACACUGCAGUGUUUACUCCACAGUCUGGCAAAGCCAAUGCAGUCUAUGAAGUAUUUAUUAGAAAUGUCUGGAACCAGCAUGCGAGAUUAAUGUAAGUGUAUAGUGCUCUGGUGUCAGAGAUAUCCCGCUCAACACCGUCCCCUCCAUAAAACUCUCAUCUCUUUCACAAAAAGCAUUAAUAUAUGCUCAAAUUUAAUUUAACCAUUACAUUCGAUAAACAGAUUGCCCAGACUCAUUUCUCACUCUUGUAACGAUGAACUUUUCCGACUAUUAUUAAUUACUAAAUAACUCACAGCAGUUAAAGUAAUAUAAUUCUAUAAUAUAGUAACACAACAUGCCGUACGAUAUAACUGAAUAAACUGACUUGACCUGAUGGGAUUAAACAAAUAAGCAGGGCUGAAAGUAUACACUCUACCAUUCAAACAAGCCAUACAAAUUGUAUUAAACCGUUUUGUUUUUACUUAUAGUUCAUUUAAAUACAUGUGCACACAAUUGUUAUGCUGUGUUCCAGUAUGGGUUUGGUUGAGAACCUAUUUCGAUUGAUUCUGAUUCAUUUCAGAUUUUGGAUGGCUGAGACAGCUGAGACAUCUUCAAUAUGUUCUCCUUUAUGUGUACUGUAAAAAUCCCGGUUUACAUCAGUGUCUUUUUUUUGUUGCUGUGAUCUUCAUGUCUGGAGAUGUAAAUAUCAUAUAGCUUUUAUUCUGGCUUUCUGGUGGAAAUUCAAAACCUCAUGGAGACGAAUCGAGAUCCUGGUUCAGGUAGAAACGGUCUGGUUGCUUUCCCAGGAAUUCCCCAAGAGCCUAUGUGUUUGGUGGGCCGGUGGUGGCCAUCUUUGGUCAAACUUGCUGAAAAAUUGUGGAUCGGUGAAGGGUCCGCCAUAUACAAUCGCCUGCAGCAAAUAGACCAGUGCCACCACCAGGCAGGAGAUCAGGAAGAAGGGCAUGAACGGACGGAAAUGAGUCCAGGCUUCUCCCAAAAUGUAGCCCAGACCACCUUUAUUGUGGUAAUGAGUGGUGCGACGGGAGGACGGCAGAGGCAGACCAGAUAGAGAACUGUCUUGAGCUACGCAGCUGAAGUGUCUUCCUUGAGUCCACAGGAGUGUUUAACAGCAGGGAUAGAGCUGUGUCGUAAAGCUCAGCCACACACUCCUGCUAUCCAUGACUCAUAGAAAUAC